This 456-nucleotide ribosomal RNA is filed under the name Vibrio vulnificus. RNAcentral's name for it is "bacterial SSU rRNA". It matches the Rfam family "Bacterial small subunit ribosomal RNA", at positions 1 to 453 of the family's 1533-position model. Lineage: Bacteria; Pseudomonadati; Pseudomonadota; Gammaproteobacteria; Vibrionales; Vibrionaceae. The record is from RNAcentral.
UAAUUGAAGAGUUUGAUCAUGGCUCAGAUUGAACGCUGGCGGCAGGCCUAACACAUGCAAGUCGAGCGGCAGCACAGAGAAACUUGUUUCUCGGGUGGCGAGCGGCGGACGGGUGAGUAAUGCCUGGGAAAUUGCCCUGAUGUGGGGGAUAACCAUUGGAAACGAUGGCUAAUACCGCAUGAUAGCUUCGGCUCAAAGAGGGGGACCUUCGGGCCUCUCGCGUCAGGAUAUGCCCAGGUGGGAUUAGCUAGUUGGUGAGGUAAGGGCUCACCAAGGCGACGAUCCCUAGCUGGUCUGAGAGGAUGAUCAGCCACACUGGAACUGAGACACGGUCCAGACUCCUACGGGAGGCAGCAGUGGGGAAUAUUGCACAAUGGGCGCAAGCCUGAUGCAGCCAUGCCGCGUGUGUGAAGAAGGCCUUCGGGUUGUAAAGCACUUUCAGUCGUGAGGAAGGUG